Molecule: long non-coding RNA, 1477 nt
Organism: Helianthus annuus (common sunflower)
Lineage: Eukaryota; Viridiplantae; Streptophyta; Magnoliopsida; Asterales; Asteraceae
Exons: 5
Source: RefSeq, a predicted model, not a curated record
AAUUCAAACACUUUAUCUAAAAAAUUUUCCUCUUUCCCUCCUAACAAAACCUUUUAAUAAUUUUCCCCAAUUUUUUUCCCACCCUCCUAAAUUAUUAGUUUUCCCUUUGAAGUUUUGAACACAAUUAAACAUCCCCCAAAUCAAUUUACCAUUCCAAAAUCAAAUUUCAUAUUCCCACUCCUUAAACCUAACCCUUCAUUGAUUUCCCUUCCGUCUCUCUCUUAUCUCCGGGAAUGGCGACACCAUAGUAACCACAUGAUGAACGGAAUAGUGCCACCGAUUGAAGGUCUGCGAAGACGAAGAAAAAUGGGAAGCCAUUGAGAAGCGACUUGAUUUUGGUCAGGAUGAAGAACUGAUCGAAGAGGUUCACAGGUGCUAUCUCAAACACCUGACUCUGGAAAACCCCUUCCUAUGGCUUAUGGUGAUUUCAUUAAUGAGCGUCCUUCAACCACUUUUACUGUUCGAGGAGGUCUAGCCAAUACUAAAGAUGGAAACUUUGGUGAAUGAUUUUCUGAGGUAUGUGGCUUGUGUAUUGUUUUUUUAGCUUCCCAUGUAAUUUUUGGCUGCAUGUUGGUAAUUUGAAUUAGAAAUCGAUUAAGGUUACACACUUACGCUCAAUCCUUUUUGGUUUUAUAUCCACAUGAUAAAGAUUUUAUUCAUAUACGAACCUUCAAGACAAAAAGACAAAAAUCUGACACAAAUUAAACUCAUAUUUAAAACCCAAUUCGAGAUGAUUUUCCAUAUUGGCCCUAGCGGAUUCUUAGCAAUUUUUAAAAAUAAUUGUGUAUAUUGAUGGACUUUUUUACAAGGAGAAAAUUACUAGUAGUAAAUAUUGCCUCAGGCUGUGGUAUGAUAGAACUGCACCGAAUGUAGGUCACUUUGGUAUCCACAUAAACAUAGCAAAUGAGUAAUGGGUUGGACUGAGCUGUGAAGGUUAAUUUAGAAACGAGAGUAGCUCUUCUAAUUUGCACAGGUACCUGAACUCGAGAGUUCAAAUGUGAAGUCUUUGUACCGGAGAGCUCAAUCAUACAUAAACGUGGCAGAUAUGGAUCUUACAAAGCUUGAUAUUAGAAACGCCCUCAAGGUCGACCCAAAUAACAAGAAGUCACACUUGUAGAGUUUGAUGGAGACGGAGAUUACCACGUGCCUGUUGAACUUGGAGGUAGUGGUGGAAUGAGGUUGAAGUUGAGAAAAACUAGUUGCUGGAAAUGUGCAAAAGGAUUGAAGAUGAUCAUUAAAGAAAAAAAACCGAGCUUGAAACUAUGCGAAAAGAGUUUGCCAGCCAGCGACACAACUUGGAAGCUAUGGAACACAACUUGGAAGCUAUGAUACGGAAGGUUAUGAAACAAGUAGUUGAAGAUCGAGAUGAGUAGAAUGUUUUCACCUUUUUAUUAUUGUAAUUGACUGUAAAGUUAUUUAAGUUUUAACAAACAUGUUGAAGUACACACUUUGAUUAUUAAUGAUAUCUUUGUUAUUA